This 55-nucleotide ribosomal RNA is filed under the name Frankliniella occidentalis (western flower thrips). Its description in RNAcentral is "partial 5.8S ribosomal RNA". The record is from RNAcentral. Lineage: Eukaryota; Metazoa; Arthropoda; Insecta; Thysanoptera; Thripidae.
UGUGAACUGCAGGACACAUGCACAUUGACAAUUAGAACGCACAUUGCGGCCCUAG